This 1471-nucleotide long non-coding RNA is filed under the name Homo sapiens (human). RNAcentral describes it as "HSALNT0142499". Lineage: Eukaryota; Metazoa; Chordata; Mammalia; Primates; Hominidae. The record is from RNAcentral.
GCUUCAAACUCCUGACCUCAGGUAAUCCACCCGCGUCAGCCUCCCAAAGUGCUGGGAUUACAGGCGUGAGCCUCUGUUAAUCUUUGAGGAUUAAUCCAGCAAUCUCAGAAUCAGUUGCUAGACAAAGGACAGUUUCAGAAUCAAGCUUUGGUACCACUGCGAAGAAUAUGGACUACUGAGUGCCCUGCAUUAUUUUGCCUUAAACAAGUGCAGAAGGGUUUCUAUAACAUUUAUCAUAGUUCUAGCCAAGCCACAUAUUUUGAAUACCAGCAAUUUUAUCAAUGUAAACCCAAUUAUAAAAACAUGCUAAUGUCUAAACUUCUGGGGUCAAUUGUAGAUAAAGACAGCUAGAUGCUUGUAGUAACUUUCCUUGCAGUGUGGCUCUUUGAUUAAACUCUGUGAACGAUUUCCUAUAACGUGUAUCCCAAUUAGGGCAACCAGCAGCACCUAUUUUUAUUAUACUGUCUUUGAUAAUAUAUUAUAAAUUAAAUUACACACCACAGGACAGACUCUUCACAAGAAAUGGAUGCUUCAAACCAGAUUUGGCCCAAUUCUGAGGUGGGAAGGAUCGGUUUUACAUUUGAGAGAGAUCAAUGUGAAGGAGGCAGGAAGAAACAGCCCCUUCCAGUGAGGUGUGGAAUUUUCCACUACCACCUUCUAAGCAAGACCUGAGGGUCCCCUCACCCAAAACCCUUCUAUUCUUGGCACACUCGUUUUUUAGAUUAAUUUCUAUUUGGGCCCCUUUCCCAUCAUGUCUUCAGUACAACAUUCUCUCAUGUGACUUCAUGACAAACAGAAACAGAAAAUAAGUAGAAGCAACCCUAGAGAUUGCCAAAGCCAGUGGGUUUUCCAUCUUAGCUUUGAAGUCCUUUGUUCAGACCUAAUAUCACCCUGGGAUGCAGACACAUAAUCCAUAUAGGAAACAGAAAUGCUCUGGAUGAAGCAGUGGGUGGAUGCAGGGAAAGCAAAAACAUAGCUCUUUUCCACGCUCCCAGUCCGUUCAUCUGUUUGUGCUUGAGUGACUUCCAGUGGACACCAAUAACCUGAUCAUUCUUCUGUCACCCAUUUUGCAGAUUAGGAAACUAAGUCCUUGAGGGGAUAAGUAAAUUGCCUGAGUACACAUAGCGAGAUGUGGCAGAACAGAAACUCUCUUUCUGUUGUGGGUCAGACUACAGGCUUUAAGGGAAUGAGGUGAAGGCACUCGCUCUUGUCCUGAGACUGAUGGCUCAGUGGGAUAACGACUCAGACUCCAAGCUGGUUGUCCAUGCCCCUAAGCCUCCCCAUCCAAUUAGCUCAUCCUUCAGUUCCGGAUAAUGGCUCAACUUUUUCCUUUCCGGGUUCUAGAUGAAAACCUCUCUCUGCAGUCCUGGUAUCACAAUUUCACAUGGCUGGGAAGUCUCACAAUCACGGUGGAAGGUGAAGGAGUAGCAAACGCACUUCUUACAUGACGGCUGGCAAGAAUGCUUGUGCA